CAGGCGGCCGCGUUAAGUCAGAUGUGAAAGACCCGGGGCGUUAACCUCGGAACUUAGCAUUUGUAAACUAGGCAGGCUAGAGUCUUGUAGAGGGGGGUAGGAAGUUUCAGGUGUAGCGGUGAAAUGCGUAGAGAUCUGAAGGAAUACCAGUGGCGAAGGCGGCCCCCUCGGACAAAGACUGACGCUCAGAUGCGAAAGCGUGGGGAGCAAACAGGAUUAGAUACCCUGGUAG
This 232-nucleotide ribosomal RNA is filed under the name uncultured bacterium. Its description in RNAcentral is "partial 16S ribosomal RNA". It matches the Rfam family "Bacterial small subunit ribosomal RNA", at positions 572 to 793 of the family's 1533-position model. The record is from RNAcentral.